This 253-nucleotide ribosomal RNA is filed under the name uncultured bacterium. RNAcentral's name for it is "partial 16S ribosomal RNA". It matches the Rfam family "Bacterial small subunit ribosomal RNA", at positions 524 to 776 of the family's 1533-position model. The record is from RNAcentral.
UACGUAGGGUGCGAGCGUUGUCCGGAAUUAUUGGGCGUAAAGGGCUCGUAGGCGGUUUGUCGCGUCGGGAGUGAAAACCUCGGGCUUAACUCGGGGCUUGCUUUCGAUACGGGCAGACUGGAGGUAUGCAGGGGAGAACGGAAUUCCUGGUGUAGCGGUGAAAUGCGCAGAUAUCAGGAGGAAUACCGGUGGCGAAGGCGGUUCUCUGGGCAUGACCUGACGCUGAGGAGCGAAAGUGUGGGGAGCGAACAGG